This 127-nucleotide transfer-messenger RNA is filed under the name Gallicola sp. RNAcentral's name for it is "partial transfer-messenger RNA". It matches the Rfam family "transfer-messenger RNA", at positions 236 to 374 of the family's 374-position model. Rfam says of the family: Bacterial tmRNA, also known as 10Sa RNA or SsrA, is named for its dual tRNA and mRNA-like properties. Its role is to liberate the mRNA from a stalled ribosome. The record is from RNAcentral. Lineage: Bacteria; Bacillati; Bacillota; Tissierellia; Tissierellales; Peptoniphilaceae.
ACAAACUAGUUAUUUAAUAAUUUGUCAGUUAAUUUUUUAAAUAAUGAACUUUACUAACUGACUAAGCUUGUAGAGGUUCCUCGAGUGGUAAUUUCGGACGCGAGUUCGAUUCUCGCCGACUCCACCA